Molecule: ribosomal RNA, 495 nt
Filed under: uncultured bacterium
Lineage: Bacteria
Description: partial 16S ribosomal RNA
Rfam family: Bacterial small subunit ribosomal RNA
Source: RNAcentral
GAUGAACGCUGGCGGCGUGCCUAAUACAUGCAAGUAGAACGCUGAAGGAGGAGCUUGCUCUUCUGGAUGAGUUGCGAACGGGUGAGUAACGCGUAGGUAACCUGCCUGGUAGCGGGGGAUAACUAUUGGAAACGAUAGCUAAUACCGCAUGACAACAGUUAUUGCAUGAUAACUGUUUAAAAGGGGCAACUGCUCCACUACCAGAUGGACCUGCGUUGUAUUAGCUAGUUGGUGAGGUAACGGCUCACCAAGGCGACGAUACAUAGCCGACCUGAGAGGGUGCUCGGCCACACUGGGACUGGGACACGGCCCAGACUCCUACGGGAGGCAGCAGUAGGGAAUCUUCGGCAAUGGACGGAAGUCUGACCGAGCAACGCCGCGUGAGUGACGAAGGUUUUCGGAUCGUAAAGCUCUGUUGUAAGAGAAGAACGAGUGUGAGAGUGGAAAGUUCACACUGUGACGGUAUCUUACCAGAAAGGGACGGCUAACUACGUG